UACAGAGGGUGCGAGCGUUGUUCGGAAUUAUUGGGCGUAAAGGGCGCGUAGGCGGUGCGGUAAGUCACCUGUGAAAUCUCCUGGCUCAACUGGGAGCUUGCAGGCGAAACUGCCGUGCUGGAGUGUGGGAGAGGUGCGUGGAAUUCCUGGUGUAGCGGUGAGAUGCGUAGAUAUCAGGAGGAACACCUGUGGCGAAAGCGGCGCACUGGACCAUAACUGACGCUGAUGCACGAAAGCGUGGGUAGCAAACAGG
RNAcentral lists this ribosomal RNA (253 nucleotides) under uncultured bacterium. Its description in RNAcentral is "partial 16S ribosomal RNA". It matches the Rfam family "Bacterial small subunit ribosomal RNA", at positions 524 to 776 of the family's 1533-position model. The record is from RNAcentral.